RNAcentral lists this ribosomal RNA (381 nucleotides) under uncultured eukaryote. Its description in RNAcentral is "partial 18S ribosomal RNA". It matches the Rfam family "Eukaryotic small subunit ribosomal RNA", at positions 592 to 975 of the family's 1831-position model. The record is from RNAcentral.
CAAUAGCGUAUAUUAAAGUUGUUGCAGUUAAAAAGCUCGUAGUUGGAUUUCUGGUUGAAGCGACCGGUCGGGCGUUGAUUCGUCUGCACUGGAGUCGGUUUUGGCCAUCCUCUAGGAAAGUGCGUCUGGUAUUAAGUUAUCGGGCGUAUGAUCCUGGUCUUUUACUGUGAAAAAAUUAGAGUGUUUAAAGCAGGCCUUCGCCUUGAAUACAUUAGCAUGGAAUAAUAAGAUAGGACUUUGGUCUAUUUUGUUGGUUUGCAGACCGAAGUAAUGAUUAAUAGGGAUAGUUGGGGGUAUUUAUAUUCCGAUGUCAGAGGCGAAAUUCUUAGAUUUUCGGAAGAUAAACUUAUGCGAAAGCAUUUACCAAGGAUGUUUUCAUUA